GAUGAACGCUAGCUACAGGCUUAACACAUGCAAGUCGCGGGGCAGCAUGGGGGUUGCUUGCAAUCCCCGAUGGCGACCGGCGCACGGGUGAGUAACGCGUAUCCAACCUGCCCUUCACCACGGGAUAACCCGGCGAAAGUCGGACUAAUACCGUAAGUUGUCCAUUGACGGCAUCCGAUUUGGACGAAAGGUUUGGAGGUGAAGGAUGGGGAUGCGUCCGAUUAGCUGGACGGCGGGGUGACGGCCCACCGUGGCGACGAUCGGUAGGGGUUCUGAGAGGAAGGUCCCCCACACUGGAACUGAGACACGGUCCAGACUCCUACGGGAGGCAGCAGUGCGGAAUAUUGGUCAAUGGGCGUAAGCCUGAACCAGCCAAGUAGCGUGCAGGAUGACGGCCCUAUGGGUUGUAAACUGCUUUUAUGCGGGGAUAAAGUGGCCCACGUGUGGGUUUUUGCAGGUACCGCAUGAAUAAGGACCGGCUAAUUCCGUG
This 490-nucleotide ribosomal RNA is filed under the name uncultured bacterium. RNAcentral's name for it is "partial 16S ribosomal RNA". It matches the Rfam family "Bacterial small subunit ribosomal RNA", at positions 28 to 507 of the family's 1533-position model. The record is from RNAcentral.